This 631-nucleotide ribosomal RNA is filed under the name Schistomysis assimilis. RNAcentral's name for it is "eukaryotic LSU rRNA". It matches the Rfam family "Eukaryotic large subunit ribosomal RNA", at positions 672 to 1277 of the family's 3401-position model. The record is from RNAcentral. Lineage: Eukaryota; Metazoa; Arthropoda; Malacostraca; Mysida; Mysidae.
CAGUCUAUCAUGUGCACAAGUCAUUAGGUUUACUAAACCUACAGGCGAAGCGAAAGCAAUGAGCCGAUCCUCUCUUUAAAUAUAGAGGCGCAGGUUCGGGACUCGUAUCCCAAUUAGGGCAUGCGAGUCCUCUGAGUGCAUGUUGUAGUACCCGAAAGAUGAUGAACUAUACCUGGCCAGGACGAAGCCGGAGGAAACUCUGGUGGAGGUCCGUAACGUUUCUGACGUGCAAAUCGAUCGUAUGAGCUGGGUAUAGGGGCGAAAGACCAAUCGAAUCAUCUAGUAGCUGGUUCCCUCCGAAGUUUCCCUAAGGAUAGCUGGUACAUGAAAGCUCCGGAGUACUCACGGUAAAGCCACUGACUAUGACAGGCGUUUGAUAAAUUUUGGCAAUUGUUUCUCAUACUACAAAUGUCUGUCAUAUCGGUAUACUCCCGUGAUGCUCCGACAGGAGCUUCAUUUCUUUUGGAGAUGUAUGUAUGUAGUGGGCCAUUUUUGGUAAGCAGAACUGGUGCUGUGGGAUGAACCAAACGUUGAGUUAAGGGGCCUAAAUGAAAGCCCUCAGACCCAUGAAAGGGUGUUAGUUGCUAUAGACAGCGGGACGGUGGCCAUGGAAGUUGGAAUCCGCUAAGAG